This 283-nucleotide signal recognition particle RNA is filed under the name Castor canadensis (American beaver). RNAcentral describes it as "Metazoan signal recognition particle RNA (ENSCCNG00000007303.1)". It matches the Rfam family "Metazoan signal recognition particle RNA", at positions 1 to 220 of the family's 299-position model. From Rfam's summary of the family: The signal recognition particle (SRP) is a universally conserved ribonucleoprotein. It is involved in the co-translational targeting of proteins to membranes. The eukaryotic SRP consists of a 300-nucleotide 7S RNA and six proteins: SRPs 72, 68, 54, 19, 14, and 9. Lineage: Eukaryota; Metazoa; Chordata; Mammalia; Rodentia; Castoridae. The record is from RNAcentral.
GCCGGGCGCGGUGGUGCACGCCUGUAGUCCUAGCUACUCGGGAGGCUGAGGCAGGAGGAUCGCUUGAGUCCAGGAGUUCUGGGCUGCAGUGCGCUAUGCCAAUCGGGUGUCCGCACUAAGUUCGGCAUCAAUAUGGUGACCUCCCGGGAGCGGGGGACCACCAGGUUGCCUAAGGAGGGGUGAACCGGCCCAGGUCGGAAAAGAGAAAGGGUGGUUAAUUUUAUUUGAUAUUACACUACUAACAUUAUCUUGGUUUCACUUGAAAAUAUGCUUAGAACUCUCU